RNAcentral lists this ribosomal RNA (1152 nucleotides) under Escherichia coli. Its description in RNAcentral is "partial 23S ribosomal RNA". It matches the Rfam family "Bacterial large subunit ribosomal RNA", at positions 1 to 1194 of the family's 2925-position model. The record is from RNAcentral. Lineage: Bacteria; Pseudomonadati; Pseudomonadota; Gammaproteobacteria; Enterobacterales; Enterobacteriaceae.
GGUUAAGCGACUAAGCGUACACGGUGGAUGCCCUGGCAGUCAGAGGCGAUGAAGGACGUGCUAAUCUGCGAUAAGCGUCGGUAAGGUGAUAUGAACCGUUAUAACCGGCGAUUUCCGAAUGGGGAAACCCAGUGUGAUUCGUCACACUAUCAUUAACUGAAUCCAUAGGUUAAUGAGGCGAACCGGGGGAACUGAAACAUCUAAGUACCCCGAGGAAAAGAAAUCAACCGAGAUUCCCCCAGUAGCGGCGAGCGAACGGGGAGCAGCCCAGAGCCUGAAUCAGUAUGUGUGUUAGUGGAAGCGUCUGGAAAGGCGCGCGAUACAGGGUGACAGCCCCGUACACAAAAAUGCACAUGCUGUGAGCUCGAUGAGUAGGGCGGGACACGUGGUAUCCUGUCUGAAUAUGGGGGGACCAUCCUCCAAGGCUAAAUACUCCUGACUGACCGAUAGUGAACCAGUACCGUGAGGGAAAGGCGAAAAGAACCCCGGCGAGGGGAGUGAAAAAGAACCUGAAACCGUGUACGUACAAGCAGUGGGAGCACGCUUAGGCGUGUGACUGCGUACCUUUUGUAUAAUGGGUCAGCGACUUAUAUUCUGUAGCAAGGUUAACCGAAUAGGGGAGCCGAAGGGAAACCGAGUCUUAACUGGGCGUUAAGUUGCAGGGUAUAGACCCGAAACCCGGUGAUCUAGCCAUGGGCAGGUUGAAGGUUGGGUAACACUAACUGGAGGACCGAACCGACUAAUGUUGAAAAAUUAGCGGAUGACUUGUGGCUGGGGGUGAAAGGCCAAUCAAACCGGGAGAUAGCUGGUUCUCCCCGAAAGCUAUUUAGGUAGCGCCUCGUGAAUUCAUCUCCGGGGGUAGAGCACUGUUUCGGCAAGGGGGUCAUCCCGACUUACCAACCCGAUGCAAACUGCGAAUACCGGAGAAUGUUAUCACGGGAGACACACGGCGGGUGCUAACGUCCGUCGUGAAGAGGGAAACAACCCAGACCGCCAGCUAAGGUCCCAAAGUCAUGGUUAAGUGGGAAACGAUGUGGGAAGGCCCAGACAGCCAGGAUGUUGGCUUAGAAGCAGCCAUCAUUUAAAGAAAGCGUAAUAGCUCACUGGUCGAGUCGGCCUGCGCGGAAGAUGUAACGGGGCUAAACCAUGCAC